CCUCGGGCUGGUGAAGACCAUGCCGACGCUGAUGUCGUCGGUGGACGCCUACGUGUUCCCGUCGCGCUACGAGGC
Molecule: transfer RNA, 75 nt
Filed under: Burkholderia plantarii
Lineage: Bacteria; Pseudomonadati; Pseudomonadota; Betaproteobacteria; Burkholderiales; Burkholderiaceae
Description: tRNA-Ile
Source: RNAcentral